RNAcentral lists this small RNA (159 nucleotides) under Morganella morganii. Its description in RNAcentral is "Manganese sequence". It matches the Rfam family "Manganese Mn2+ riboswitch aptamer (yybP-ykoY)". Rfam says of the family: This RNA was originally discovered in E. coli during a large scale screen and was named SraF. The family was later found to exist upstream of related families of protein genes in many bacteria, including the the yybP and ykoK genes in B. subtilis. The record is from RNAcentral. Lineage: Bacteria; Pseudomonadati; Pseudomonadota; Gammaproteobacteria; Enterobacterales; Morganellaceae.
CCGGUCACGUCAUUGGGGAGUAGCCUGUUCUGUUAUUAACCUCUCAGGAAAAUAACAGAAAAUCCGUAUCAACAUACUUGCGUGAUAUUAUAUCAGCAUGGUGCGGAUGCCGUUUCGGUUGGCAAGACCAUAGACACGCAGUUCACCGGAGGUCGGGGU